This 348-nucleotide unclassified non-coding RNA is filed under the name soil metagenome. RNAcentral describes it as "partial contains 5.8S ribosomal RNA, internal transcribed spacer 2, and large subunit ribosomal RNA". The stretch from base 1 to 120 matches the Rfam family "5.8S ribosomal RNA", at positions 35 to 154 of the family's 154-position model. The record is from RNAcentral.
GAUGAAGAACGUAGCGAAAUGCGAUAAGUAAUGUGAAUUGCAGAAUUCAGUGAAUCAUCGAAUCUUUGAACGCACAUUGCGCCCGCCAGUAUUCUCGCGGGCAUGCCUGUCUGAGCGUCAUUUCAACCCUCAUGCCCCUAGGGCGUGGUGUUGGGGAUCGGCCAAAGCCCGCGAGGGACGGCCGGCCCCUAAAUCUAGUGGCGGACCCGUCGUGGCCUCCUCUGCGAAGUAGUGAUAUUCCGCAUCGGAGAGCGACGAGCCCCUGCCGUUAAACCCCCAACUUUCCAAGGUUGACCUCAGAUCAGGUAGGAAUACCCGCUGAACUUAAGCAUAUCAAUAAGCGGAGGA